GACGAACGCUGGCGGCGUGCUUAACACAUGCAAGUCGAACGAUGAAGCCGGAGCUUGCUCCGGUGGAUUAGUGGCGAACGGGUGAGUAACACGUGAGCAAUCUGCCCUUGACUCUGGGAUAACUGCGGGAAACUGUAGCUAAUACCGGAUACGACACCUUGGGGCAUCCCAGGGUGUGGAAAGAAUUUCGGUCAAGGAUGAGCUCGCGGCCUAUCAGCUAGUUGGUGAGGGAAUGGCUCACCAAGGCGACGACGGGUAGCCGGCCUGAGAGGGUGACCGGCCACACUGGAACUGAGACACGGUCCAGACUCCUACGGGAGGCAGCAGUGGGGAAUAUUGCACAAUGGGCGAAAGCCUGAUGCAGCAACGCCGCGUGAGGGAUGAAGGCCUUCGGGUUGUAAACCUCUUUUGGCGGGGACGAUGAUGACGGUACCCGCAGAAUAAGCCCCGGCUAACUUCGUGCCAGCCGCCGCCGUAA
Molecule: ribosomal RNA, 478 nt
Filed under: uncultured bacterium
Lineage: Bacteria
Description: partial 16S ribosomal RNA
Rfam family: Bacterial small subunit ribosomal RNA
Source: RNAcentral